AACCUGGCGGCGUGCUUACACAUGCAAGUCCAACGGAGCUUAUUUGGAAAGCUUGCUUUUCGCUUAAGCUUAGUGGCGGACGGGUGAGUAACGCGUGAGCAACCUGCCCUAGAGUGGGGAAUAACACCGAGAAAUCGGUGCUAAUACCGCAUAAUGUCGGAGGACCGCAUGAUCCACCGACCAAAGGAUUUAUUCGCUUUAGGAUGGGCUCGCGUCCGAUUAGGCAGUUGGCGGGGUAACGGCCCACCAAACCGACGAUCGGUAGCCGAACUGAGAGGUUGAUCGGCCACAUUGGGACUGAGACACGGCCCAGACUCCUACGGGAGGCAGCAGUGGGGAAUAUUGGGCAAUGGGCGAAAGCCUGACCCAGCAACGCCGCGUGAAGGAUGAAGGUCUUCGGAUUGUAAACUUCUUUGAUUGGGGAAGAAAAAAAUGACCUACCCAAAGAACAAGUCACGGCUAACUACGUGCCAGCAGCCGCGGUAAU
This 487-nucleotide ribosomal RNA is filed under the name uncultured bacterium. RNAcentral's name for it is "bacterial SSU rRNA". It matches the Rfam family "Bacterial small subunit ribosomal RNA", at positions 36 to 524 of the family's 1533-position model. The record is from RNAcentral.